RNAcentral lists this ribosomal RNA (551 nucleotides) under Photobacterium kishitanii. RNAcentral's name for it is "bacterial LSU rRNA". It matches the Rfam family "Bacterial large subunit ribosomal RNA", at positions 446 to 998 of the family's 2925-position model. Lineage: Bacteria; Pseudomonadati; Pseudomonadota; Gammaproteobacteria; Vibrionales; Vibrionaceae. The record is from RNAcentral.
GGGGGGACCAUCCUCCAAGGCUAAAUACUCCUGACUGACCGAUAGUGAACCAGUACCGUGAGGGAAAGGCGAAAAGAACCCCUGUGAGGGGAGUGAAAUAGAACCUGAAACCGUGUACGUACAAGCAGUAGGAGCCCACUUGUUGGGUGACUGCGUACCUUUUGUAUAAUGGGUCAGCGACUUAAUUUUAGUAGCAAGGUUAACCGUUUAGGGGAGCCGUAGGGAAACCGAGUCUUAACUGGGCGUCAUAGUUGCUAGGAUUAGACCCGAAACCGAGUGAUCUAGCCAUGGGCAGGUUGAAGGUGAGGUAACACUUACUGGAGGACCGAACCGACUAAUGUUGAAAAAUUAGCGGAUGACUUGUGGCUAGGGGUGAAAGGCCAAUCAAACUCGGAGAUAGCUGGUUCUCCCCGAAAGCUAUUUAGGUAGCGCCUCGGACGAAUACUACUGGGGGUAGAGCACUGGUUAAGGCUAGGGGGUCAUCCCGACUUACCAACCUUUGCAAACUCCGAAUACCAGUAAGUAAUAUCCGGGAGACACACGGCGGGUGC